GGGGAAUCUUAGACAAUGGGCGCAAGCCUGAUCUAGCCAUGCCGCGUGAGCGAUGAAGGCCUUAGGGUUGUAAAGCUCUUUCAGUGGGGAAGAUAAUGACUGUACCCACAGAAGAAGCCCCGGCUAACUCCGUGCCAGCAGCCGCGGUAAUACGGAGGGGGCUAGCGUUGUUCGGAAUUACUGGGCGUAAAGCGCACGUAGGCAGACCAGAAAGUUGGGGGUGAAAUCCCGGGGCUCAACCUCGGAACUGCCUUCAAAACUCCUGGUCUUGAGGUCGAGAGAGGUGAGUGGAAUUCCGAGUGUAGAGGUGAAAUUCGUAGAUAUUCGGAGGAACACCAGUGGCGAAGGCGGCUCACUGGCUCGAUACUGACGCUGAGGUGCGAAAGCGUGGGGAGCAAAC
RNAcentral lists this ribosomal RNA (400 nucleotides) under uncultured bacterium. Its description in RNAcentral is "bacterial SSU rRNA". It matches the Rfam family "Bacterial small subunit ribosomal RNA", at positions 356 to 773 of the family's 1533-position model. The record is from RNAcentral.